AAUUCUCAAAGUACCCUUCAUUUCUUGUGGAGGGAGCUUCGGACUUUGGCGGUUGCUGGCUCUUUUUGAGUUGGCUCCCCUUCAAAUACAUUAGCUUUUGGAAACGACGAGUUUCCUUGAAGGGCUGUCGGUGUGAUAGUAUCCACUGUCGCUGAAGGCCUUUCGAGGGGCGAGUUGGACCUGGGCUUCUAACAAACCACUUCAUUGCU
This 209-nucleotide unclassified non-coding RNA is filed under the name uncultured Basidiomycota. RNAcentral's name for it is "sequence contains ITS2". Lineage: Eukaryota; Fungi; Basidiomycota. The record is from RNAcentral.